This 301-nucleotide ribosomal RNA is filed under the name uncultured bacterium. Its description in RNAcentral is "partial 16S ribosomal RNA". It matches the Rfam family "Bacterial small subunit ribosomal RNA", at positions 509 to 809 of the family's 1533-position model. The record is from RNAcentral.
CAGUCGCCGCGGGAAUACAGAGGGUGCGAGCGUUAAUCGGAUUUACUGGGCGUAAAGCGUGCGUAGGCGGCUUCUUAAGUCGGAUGUGAAAUCCCUGAGCUUAACUUAGGAAUUGCAUUCGAUACUGGGAAGCUAGAGUAUGGGAGAGGAUGGUAGAAUUCCAGGUGUAGCGGUGAAAUGCGUAGAGAUCUGGAGGAAUACCGAUGGCGAAGGCAGCCAUCUGGCCUAAUACUGACGCUGAGGUACGAAAGCAUGGGGAGCAAACAGGAUUAGAUACCCCAGUAGUCCCUUCUCUUAUACA